RNAcentral lists this long non-coding RNA (379 nucleotides) under Fukomys damarensis (Damara mole-rat). RNAcentral's name for it is "lncRNA (ENSFDAG00000024479.1)". Lineage: Eukaryota; Metazoa; Chordata; Mammalia; Rodentia; Bathyergidae. The record is from RNAcentral.
UGUUUUUGCAAAAUGUCUUCCAAAGUCCUUUUGUUGGGCUGGGAAGUUUGGCCUUCAUGAGAUGAUCAUUUCUGCUGGGGGAGUACAGCUCUGUGAGGUUCUGCUGAAAUUCAAGAAACUGCCUACAGCACACUACCAAAAAGGGUCACAUCUGUAUACGCACAGAAUACGCAAACCAGCCGGUUCACUAAAAUUUUGCCUACUAAAGAGUUCAAGUUUUACCUUCAGUGAACACACCACCUAUGAAUGUAUGAUGUCCCAGACCGUGACAGGAGAUGUAUCCAUCACAACUUUGCCCAACCAAGCCUCUCACCCUGGCCUGCUUAUUUUCUCUCCUUUCAGUGAAAUGCUAAUCACCCUAAAGGCUCCUCAUUAUUGA